This 792-nucleotide ribosomal RNA is filed under the name uncultured Pseudomonadota bacterium. Its description in RNAcentral is "bacterial SSU rRNA". It matches the Rfam family "Bacterial small subunit ribosomal RNA", at positions 79 to 902 of the family's 1533-position model. The record is from RNAcentral. Lineage: Bacteria; Pseudomonadati; Pseudomonadota.
CAAUACCAUGAGUACAGCGGCGCACGGGUGAGUAACACGUGACUAACCUACCCUCGAGUGGGGAAUAACUUCGGGAAACCGAGGCUAAUACCGCAUAAUACCCACGGGUCAAAGGAGCAAUUCGCUUGAGGAGGGGGUCGCGGCCGAUUAGUUAGUUGGCGGGGUAAUGGCCCACCAAGACGAUGAUCGGUAUCCGGCCUGAGAGGGCGCACGGACACACUGGAACUGAAACACGGUCCAGACUCCUACGGGAGGCAGCAGUGGGGAAUUUUGCGCAAUGGGGGAAACCCUGACGCAGCAACGCCGCGUGGAGGAUGAAGUCCUUCGGGACGUAAACUCCUUUCGAUCGGGACGAUUAUGACGGUACCGAGAGAAGAAGCCCCGGCUAACUUCGUGCCAGCAGCCGCGGUAAUACGAGGGGGGCGAGCGUUGUUCGGAAUUAUUGGGCGUAAAGGGUGCGUAGGCGGUUUGGUAAGUCUUGUGUGAAAUCUAUGGGCUCAACUCAUAGUCUGCACGAGAAACUGCCGGGCUUGAGUGUGGGAGAGGUGAGUGGAAUUUCCGGUGUAGCGGUGAAAUGCGUAGAUAUCGGAAGGAACACCUGUGGCGAAAGCGGCUCACUGGACCACAACUGACGCUGAUGCACGAAAGCUAGGGGAGCAAACAGGAUUAGAUACCCUGGUAGUCCUAGCCCUAAACGAUGACUGCUUGGUGUGACGGGUACCCAAUCCCGCCGUGCCGUANCUAACGCGUUAAGCAGUCCGCCUGGGGAGUACGGUCGCAAGGCUGAAACUC